GUCUACGGCAGUGCUACCCUAAACAAGCCCGAUCCCAUCUGAUCUAAGAAGCUAAGCAGGAUUGGGCCUGGUUAGUACUUGGAUGAGAGACCACCUAGGAAGAUCAGGUGCUAUAGGCA
Molecule: ribosomal RNA, 119 nt
Filed under: Pteropus alecto (black flying fox)
Lineage: Eukaryota; Metazoa; Chordata; Mammalia; Chiroptera; Pteropodidae
Source: RNAcentral